GCAGAAAGCCCCAACAGCCAGACACAAAGGGCUUGUGAUGCUCAUGUCGGAAGACUUGGCUCUUUACCUGAAGGAACAGUGGAGUGACCCAGCGUCCCGGGUGCCUUGACUGACUGGAUUUCGUUUGGGGCUUUUGUGAGUAAUUAUUGUUUCUCAGUGAAUGCUUUGGUUGGGUCAGUUUGGUUUGUGGCUUGCCUUUGUUGUUUGGUCGAUUUAUUUUAACUGCUAGCAAAAGGAGCCCUUGGCUUGGAGGCAGGGGUCCUCGCGCUGCCCAGGCACAGCGCUGGUGGGGAACGCGUGGCUGCGGCUGUUGGACUGUCACCGCUCCGGACGCUUGGAGGUCUUCGCUGCUAGAGAGUCUGUAUGUCACCACAGGCUGCUGAGCUCCUGUCUGUCUAUUUGCCUGUCUGUCAGUCUGUCUGCUUCAGGAAAGGGGUUGGGGGUGGUGUCCAGGCUUUGCUCUGCUCCUCUCUCUUGGGAGUAGCCACCUUCUCCUGCAGCCAGUCCUUGCGCUGAUCUGUCCGCCCCUCUGCGACCUGUGGUCCCACCAGCAAUGCGGGAACCAGGUGACUGUCGUUGGAGCCCGCAGCGUCUCUGCUACUUUGCUACUUUGCGCUCCGGCCACUUCCCCAGGUCGGGUGGGAGGAGGUGACUGCAGGGAGCGAGUGCACGGGGCUGGCUGUCCCUGUCCCUCCCUCUCCGUCUCCCUGCCCGCUGAGUGCUCCCUCUUCUCUCUCUCUCUCUCUCCUCUCUCUCCUCUUCUCUCCUCUCCUCUCUCUCUCUCCGCUCUCUUCUCUCCUUUCUCUCUUCUCUCUCUCUCUCUCUCUCUCUCUCUCUCUCUCUCUCUCCCUCGCUCGCAGGAUUUCGAUCUCUCUGGCUGAGUAGGUCCACCUGAGGGUCACUCUCGCAGUCCCGCCGGAGUCAGCCAGCCUCAGUGGUGCUCCCGACCGCCCCACCCGGCCAUGCCCUCCCACAGGGCUGGCUAGGCUCCCAGGCAGCGCCCAGCUCCUCCCCGCCAGCCAAAGACGCGUCCAGCCGGGCGGGCACCAAGAGCACCGAAAGCAUUGCACAUGCCCGCCCCCCUCCCCCCAAUAGUUCCUGCCCCAAGACCCGUGCUGGCGACCCCUCUGCGGAGGGAGAUGGCCCUGAGGGGACGCUCAGUGAUGCCCGGUCUCUGGGCCACCACGCAAAGCCGAGGCUUGAGCGCAGCCGGCACCUGCUCUGUGCGCCAGGCGCUGCCAUACCCACUGCUCUCACCACCCCUGGGCUGGAGACAAAGCGCAUGAGCCACGCGCGCGGCAGCGCGAGCAUCAUUAAUCAGAGGAAACUGGCGCGCUGCCCCGGCCCCGCCACCCUGCCUCUCCCUCCCAGCCACCAGGCGCGCCCCGGAGCCCAGCCCUUACCUACCUCGCUGGGGUACCACCUCGAGUCCUAGGGAUGUUUGGCCAGAGCUUCUGGGUUUCUGGUACUCCGUGCUUACUCUCCGAGGCCAAGUGCAGAAAACAGCCCGGGGCAGCAACACCUCACCCCACCCAAGAAAUGAUUCUCAGCUUUGAGCUCUCAGAUGCCCAGGCUUUAGAGCUGAGAGAGACUACAAGUCCUGCUGCUCAGCGAGACUGGUCCUCUGGAUGCAAGACCGCCCAGAUCAGUGCUGCCUGCCCCACUGGGCGCUGAUGCGCUGACUGAGAGAAACCUUGCACUGCAGAGCCCAGAGGGGUAGGGCUGGGGCAGGGAGCAGAGUUGACACCUGAAGAAAUAAAAGCUCUGAUUUACCCAUUUGUUUUGGAGAUGAGUACUAUUUUUAUUAUGUGCAAUUCUUUUUUUUUUCAUAAUCUAAGGGCACACUACCAAGAGGAGAAAAAAGUACAGUGAAGAGUGAAUAAAUUUCCGGAAUACCGCCCACCCGCUAGCGACUAUACAUCCUACUUUCCGACAGCGUAGGUCACCAGCCAAGAUAGCCCAUUCUAGCUUCCUACCCCCAGCUGAGAGCAAGGCAUUGGAUUCUGGCCUUCUUGGCUGGCUUGUUAUUAAUGGGUAGCAAAAUUAUAGUCGUGCACUUCUGUGUGCAACUGCCAAAGCCCAUUUUAACAAUAUCCAAUACCGGAGCUUCUGAGAUGCAGACAGCGAGUUAAGUGUGAAUCUGCUGCAAUGCACAAUAUAUUGACAACAAAAGCUUAGCAGUUGGUGAUUAGUAACCUCAUGAACAAACCACAAAUAUAUAACUACCAUAAAAUAUGCCACGAAAAUCUCUUCUUUUAUUUAUUUAUUUAUUUAUUUAUUUAUUUAUUGACUUCUAUUUAGGUACACCUACCUUUAAUGGUGGUCGUUAAAAAUGAAAAAACAAAAACAAAAACAAAACUAGGCUUAUAAGUCACAUGGCUUCCGUGGUGUUCUAGAAGAGUGAUUUGCAUAGAAUCUUUAUGGUCAUGCUGUCGUGUGUGUGUGUGUGUGUGUGUGUGUGUGUGUGUGUGUGUUCGCUCACGCAUGUGUACACUGCGGGGAGUAGGAGGUUGGAUUGGUCCUUGCUGCACAGAUCAUUAUUUUCUAUCUGUUAGUGUCUCCCUCUGGGUUUCCACUUCUGCAGGGCAGGAAAAAUCCACAGCAGAAAGUUUCAGGCAAAAGGAUCCUCCAGCUUCCAGGACUCAUGGGCACUUUGGUUUUAGCUCCGUCUUUCCUGCUAACUCCUCUCAAAACGUAUUGGUAAAUGUUUUCCAGCCACUUCGAAUGCAAC
Molecule: long non-coding RNA, 2731 nt
Filed under: Mus musculus (house mouse)
Lineage: Eukaryota; Metazoa; Chordata; Mammalia; Rodentia; Muridae
Description: long non-coding RNA chr9:112234242-112236973
Source: RNAcentral